GUGGGGAAUAUUGGACAAUGGGCGAAAGCCUGAUCCAGCCAUGCCGCGUGUGUGAAGAAGGUCUUCGGAUUGUAAAGCACUUUAAGUUGGGAGGAAGGGCAGUAAGUUAAUACCUUGCUGUUUUGACGUUACCGACAGAAUAAGCACCGGCUAACUUCGUGCCAGCAGCCGCGGUAAUACGAAGGGUGCAAGCGUUAAUCGGAAUUACUGGGCGUAAAGCGCGCGUAGGUGGUUUUGUAAGUUGGAGGUGAAAUCCCCGGGCUCAACCUGGGAACUGCCUCCAAAACUGCUGGGCUAGAGUACGGUAGAGGGUAGUGGAAUUUCCUGUGUAGCGGUGAAAUGCGUAGAUAUAGGAAGGAACACCAGUGGCGAAGGCGACUACCUGGACUGAUACUGACACUGAGGUGCGAAAGCGUGGGGAGCAAACAGGAUUAGAAACCCGUGUAGUCC
RNAcentral lists this ribosomal RNA (450 nucleotides) under uncultured bacterium. Its description in RNAcentral is "partial 16S ribosomal RNA". It matches the Rfam family "Bacterial small subunit ribosomal RNA", at positions 354 to 796 of the family's 1533-position model. The record is from RNAcentral.